Molecule: ribosomal RNA, 253 nt
Filed under: uncultured bacterium
Lineage: Bacteria
Description: partial 16S ribosomal RNA
Rfam family: Bacterial small subunit ribosomal RNA
Source: RNAcentral
UACAGGGGGUGCAAACGUUGCUCGGAAUCAUUGGGCGUAAAGCGCACGUAGGCGGUUCGUUAUGUCGGAUGUGAAAGCCCUUGGCUUAACCGAGGAAGUGCAUCCGAAACUGGCGAGCUAGAGUACGAAAGAGGAUCGCGGAAUUCCCGGUGUAGAGGUGAAAUUCGUAGAUAUCGGGAGGAACACCAGAGGCGAAGGCGGCUCGCUGGACAAGUAUUGACACUCAACUACGAAAGCGUGGGGAGCAAACAGG